This 209-nucleotide unclassified non-coding RNA is filed under the name Hevea brasiliensis (rubber tree). The record is from RNAcentral. Lineage: Eukaryota; Viridiplantae; Streptophyta; Magnoliopsida; Malpighiales; Euphorbiaceae.
GCAGAUUGCAAGAAUAAUAGAAGAUAUUUACAGAAAACCAUAUUUAGGCAAACAAUCAAAUUGCAGUAACUCAAAACCGAAGAAGAAAAUGAAGAAUUAUAUCAUAAAUUUGAAAUUCGACCUAUUUCCUGAUUAUAUUUCAACAUUUUGUCCAACGUUUCUCCAACCUAAACCUAGCCUUUCAGAAAAUUAGCAAUCAGUGUUACACA